Long non-coding RNA from Struthio camelus australis, 884 nucleotides. NCBI's taxonomy places the organism in Eukaryota, Metazoa, Chordata, Aves, Struthioniformes, Struthionidae. The record is from Ensembl.
CUGCUGGGCUUUAGGGGAGAGGACAACACUGUCCAGAACUACUUCCUGAAGCACCUGCAAAGUCGGUGCAUGAUGAUGAGUGGCCUGGUGCUCGGAGGCCUCGUGAUGCUGUCUGAGAGACCUGAGGUGGCAAGAAAAACGUGCUCGGCUGCUGCCAAAAAUCAUGGGUCGACCGUAGGACAUGGAUAAGGAUGUCAGCGCAAAGGCCCUGCUUGUGCUUAGCCACGUGCUCCGUUUCAUGGACAGGCAGAUGGCUGGCCCCAUCGCUUUGCAACUAGCCGAGAAGCUCCUGCCACUACUUAGAUGAUGUAAAGGCUGGGGGGAGACCUGGGGGCCCUCUUGGCCUGUCCAUGGGCCUCUAGGCACGGUCAUGCCUGUGGUGUGUUUGUCUCCACGUGCAUUUGCAGGAGUCCAGGUGCGUGCGAGAACUCUCCGUUCGCCUCUCCAUAGAAGUGAUGGAUAUCGGAGUGGGCUCUGUAACAAGGCAGAUGGAGAAGCAGGUACGAGGCAGCCUGCUCCUGCUGUUCUUCCAGCUGCAUGACCAGAUCCGGAGCGUGGCCCAGACUCGCUCCCCAGCUGCAUCUUCCCAUCAUGGGCCUGGAAAGGUGGUGAGGCUUGCCAAGAGGAGGGCGACACAGGGUCUGCUUGCCUUGGCUGCGACGACGUUUGCCGCGCUCUGCUGUUCGGCACGCUUUUCAGGAAGCCCUCACUCGUACUGCCAAGCUCCUGAAAUAGAGCAGCCCCAGCAUCUGACUGAGACGGCACAGAUCCGGAGGAUCAACGAGUGCUUGGUAAGCGCAGCUGCAAAGCCCCCAGGACAGUGCCGAACAAGGCGUGCCCCCCCCCCCCAAUGCCCAACGUGGGGGAUGGACAGCAGCAAGCCC